GAUGAAGAACGCAGCGAAAUGCGAUACUUGGUGUGAAUUGCAGAAUUCAGUGAAUCAUCGAGUCUUUGAACGCACAUUGCGCCCCCUGGCAUUCCGGGGGGCAUGCCUGUCCGAGCGUCAUUGCUGCCCUUCAAGCCCGGCUUGUGUGUUGGGUCGUCGUCCCCCCCGGGGGACGGGCCCGAAAGGCAGCGGCGGCACCGCGUCCGGUCCUCGAGCGUAUGGGGCUUUGUCACCCGCUCGAUUAGGGCCGGCCGGGCGCCAGCCGGCGUCUCCAACCUUCUAUUUUACCAGGUUGACCUCGGAUCAGGUAGGGAUACCCGCUGAACUUAAGCAUAUCAAUAAGCGGAGGA
This 350-nucleotide unclassified non-coding RNA is filed under the name soil metagenome. RNAcentral's name for it is "partial contains 5.8S ribosomal RNA, internal transcribed spacer 2, and large subunit ribosomal RNA". The stretch from base 1 to 120 matches the Rfam family "5.8S ribosomal RNA", at positions 35 to 154 of the family's 154-position model. The record is from RNAcentral.